AGAGUUUGAUCCUGGCUCAGGAUGAACGCUAGCGAUAGGCCUAACACAUGCAAGUCGAGGGGCAGCAUAUUUGUAGCUUGCUACAGAUGAUGGCGACCGGCGGAUGGGUGAGUAACGCGUAUGCAACCUACCUUAUACAAAUGGAUAGCCCGGCGAAAGUCGGAUUAAUACAUUAUAUAAUUUUGGAUUCGCAUGAAUUUAAAAUGAAAGAUUAAUUGGUGUAAGAUGGGCAUGCGUUCCAUUAGCUAGUUGGUAAGGUAAUGGCUUACCAAGGCAACGAUGGAUAGGGGAACUGAGAGGUUUAUCCCCCACACUGGAACUGAGACACGGACCAGACUCCUACGGGAGGCAGCAGUGAGGAAUAUUGGUCAAUGGGCGCGAGCCUGAACCAGCCAAGUCGCGUGAAGGAAGACAGCCUUAUGGGUUUUAAACUUCUUUUAUAAGGGAAUAAAGGUUUCUACGUGUAGAGAUUUGCAUGUACCUUAUGAAUAAGCAUCGGCUAACUCCGUGCCAGCAGCCGCGGUAAUACGGAGGAUGCGAGCGUUAUCCGGAUUUAUUGGGUUUAAAGGGUGCGCAGGCGGGCUUUUAAGUCAGCGGUCAAAUCUACAGGCUCAACCUGUAUUCGCCGUUGAAACUGCAAGUCUUGAGUAUAUAUGAAGUAGGCGGAAUUCGUUGUGUAGCGGUGAAAUGCAUAGAUAUAACGAGGAACUCCAAUUGCGUAGGCAGCUUACUAAUCUAUAACUGACGCUCAUGCACGAAAGUGUGGGUAUCGAACAGGAUUAGAUACCCUGGUAGUCCACACCGUAAACUAUGAUUACUCGUUAUUUGCGAUAUGAUUGUAAGUGACCAAGCGAAAGCGAUAAGUAAUCCACCUGGGGAGUACGUCGGCAACGAUGAAACUCAAAGGAAUUGACGGGGGCCCGCACAAGCGGAGGAACAUGUGGUUUAAUUCGAUGAUACGCGAGGAACCUUACCCGGGCUUGAAAUGUACCUGACCGAUUUGGAGACAGAUCUUCUAGCAAUAGCAGGUAUGUAGGUGCUGCAUGGUUGUCGUCAGCUCGUGCCGUGAGGUGUCGGCUUAAGUGCCAUAACGAGCGCAACCCUCAUCAUUAGUUACUAACAGGUUAAGCUGAGGACUCUAGUGAGACUGCCAUCGUAAGAUGUGAGGAAGGUGGGGAUGAUGUCAAAUCAGCACGGCCCUUACGUCCGGGGCUACACACGUGUUACAAUGGGUGUUACAGUGGGCAGCUACCUGGUGACAGGAUGCUAAUCUCUCAAAGGCACUCCCAGUUCGGAUUGGAGUCUGCAACUCGACUCUAUGAAGCUGGAUUCGCUAGUAAUCGCACAUCAGCCAUGGUGCGGUGAAUACGUUCCCGGGCCUUGUACACACCGCCCGUCAAGCCAUGGAAGCUGGGGGUAUCUGAAGUACGUAACCGUUCAGGAGCGUCCUAGGGUAAAACUGGUAACUGGGGCUAAGUCGUAACAAGGUAACC
This 1493-nucleotide ribosomal RNA is filed under the name uncultured bacterium. RNAcentral describes it as "bacterial SSU rRNA". It matches the Rfam family "Bacterial small subunit ribosomal RNA". The record is from RNAcentral.